RNAcentral lists this ribosomal RNA (1387 nucleotides) under Nocardia cyriacigeorgica NBRC 100375. RNAcentral describes it as "bacterial LSU rRNA". It matches the Rfam family "Bacterial large subunit ribosomal RNA", at positions 1555 to 2925 of the family's 2925-position model. Lineage: Bacteria; Bacillati; Actinomycetota; Actinomycetes; Mycobacteriales; Nocardiaceae. The record is from RNAcentral.
CCUGAGAGGUGAUGCGUAGCCGAUUGAGGCGAAUUCAGUGAUCCUAUGCUGCCGAGAAAAGCCUCUAGUGAGUUGGUACACGGCCCGUACCCCAAACCGACACAGGUGGUCAGGUAGAGAAUACUGAGGCGAUCGAGAGAACUGUGGUUAAGGAACUCGGCAAAAUGCCCCCGUAACUUCGGGAGAAGGGGGACCACGCCUGGUGACCGGAUUUACUCCGUGAGCUGGGGGUGGUCGCAGAGACCAGAGAGAAGCGACUGUUUACUAAAAACACAGGUCCGUGCGAAGUCGUAAGACGAUGUAUACGGACUGACGCCUGCCCGGUGCCGGAAGGUUAAGAGGACCGGUUAGCGCUUCGGCGCGAAGCUGAGAAUUUAAGCCCCGGUAAACGGCGGUGGUAACUAUAACCAUCCUAAGGUAGCGAAAUUCCUUGUCGGGUAAGUUCCGACCUGCACGAAUGGCGUAACGACUUCUCUGCUGUCUCAACCACAGACUCGGCGAAAUUGCAUUACGAGUAAAGAUGCUCGUUACGCGCGGCAGGACGAAAAGACCCCGGGACCUUCACUAUAGCUUGGUAUUGGUGUUCGGUACGGUUUGUGUAGGAUAGGUGGGAGACUGUGAAGCAUGCACGCCAGUGUGUGUGGAGUCGUCGUUGAAAUACCACUCUGAUCGUAUUGGACCUCUAACCUCGGACCAUGAUCUGGUUCAGGGACAGUGCCUGGUGGGUAGUUUAACUGGGGCGGUUGCCUCCCAAAAUGUAACGGAGGCGCCCAAAGGUUCCCUCAGCCUGGUUGGCAAUCAGGUGUCGAGUGCAAGUGCACAAGGGAGCUUGACUGUGAGACAGACAUGUCGAGCAGGGACGAAAGUCGGGACUAGUGAUCCGGCACCGGCAUGUGGAAGCGGUGUCGCUCAACGGAUAAAAGGUACCCCGGGGAUAACAGGCUGAUCUUCCCCAAGAGUCCAUAUCGACGGGAUGGUUUGGCACCUCGAUGUCGGCUCGUCGCAUCCUGGGGCUGGAGUAGGUCCCAAGGGUUGGGCUGUUCGCCCAUUAAAGCGGCACGCGAGCUGGGUUUAGAACGUCGUGAGACAGUUCGGUCUCUAUCCGCCGCGCGCGUCAGAAACUUGAGGAAGGCUGUCCCUAGUACGAGAGGACCGGGACGGACGAACCUCUGGUGUGCCAGUUGUCCUGCCAAGGGCACUGCUGGUUGGCUACGUUCGGAAGGGAUAACCGCUGAAAGCAUCUAAGCGGGAAGCCUGUUCCAAGAUGAGGUUUCUCACCCACUCGAUGGGUUAAGGCCCCCUACAGACCAUGGGGUUGAUAGGCCAGAACUGGAAGCCCGGUAACGGGUGGAGGUGACUGGUACUAAUAGGCCGAGGACUUACCAAC